RNAcentral lists this ribosomal RNA (460 nucleotides) under uncultured bacterium. RNAcentral's name for it is "partial 16S ribosomal RNA". It matches the Rfam family "Bacterial small subunit ribosomal RNA", at positions 338 to 795 of the family's 1533-position model. The record is from RNAcentral.
CCUACGGGAGGCAGCAGUGAGGAAUAUUGGUCAAUGGGCGCAAGCCUGAACCAGCCAAAUAGCGUGAAGGAUGACUGCCCUAGGGGUUGUAAACUUCUUUUAUAGAGGAAUAAAUUGAGGCAAGUGAGCCAUUUUGUAUGGACUUUAUGAAUAAGGAUCGGCUAACUCCGUUCCAGCAGCCGCGGUAAUACGGAGGAUCCGAGCGUUAUCCGGAUUGAUUGGGUUUAAAGGGAACGUAGAUGGGUUGUUAAGUCAGUUGUGAAAGUUUGCGGCUUAACCGUAAAAUUGCAAUUGAUACUGGCAGUCUUGAGUACAGUUGAGGUAGGCGGAAUUCGUGGUGUAGCGGUGAAAUGCUUAGAUAUCACGAAGAACUCCGAUUGCGAAGGCAGCUUACUAAACUGACACUGACAUUGAUGCUCGAAAGUGUGGGUAUCAAACAGGAUUAGAUACCCUUGUAGUC